GAUCCUGGCUUAGGACGAACGCUGGCGGCGUGCCUAACACAUGCAAGUCGAGCGAGGAGAUUCCUUCGGGAUGAUCCUAGCGGCGGACGGGUGAGUAACACGUGGGCAACCUGCCUCAUAGAGAGGAAUAGCCUUCCGAAAGGGAGAUUAAUACCUCAUAACAUUGCAGUUUCGCAUGGAACAGCAAUUAAAGGAGUAAUCCGCUAUGAGAUGGGCCCGCGGCGCAUUAGCUAGUUGGUGAGGUAACGGCUCACCAAGGCGACGAUGCGUAGCCGACCUGAGAGGGUGAUCGGCCACAUUGGGACUGAGACACGGCCCAGACUCCUACGGGAGGCAGCAGUGGGGAAUAUUGCACAAUGGGGGAAACCCUGAUGCCAGCAACGCCGCGUGAGUGAUGACGGCCUUCGGGUUGUAAAGCUCUGUCUUCAGGGACGAUAAUGACGGUACCUGAGGAGGAAGCCACGGCUAACUACGUGCCAGCCGCCGC
RNAcentral lists this ribosomal RNA (487 nucleotides) under uncultured bacterium. RNAcentral describes it as "bacterial SSU rRNA". It matches the Rfam family "Bacterial small subunit ribosomal RNA", at positions 15 to 518 of the family's 1533-position model. The record is from RNAcentral.